GAUGAACGCUGGCGGCGUGCUUAACACAUGCAAGUCGAACGGGAAACAUUUCAUUGAGGCUUCGGCGGAUUUGAUCUGUUUCUAGUGGCGGACGGGUGAGUAACGCGUGGGUAACCUGCCUUAUACCGGGGGAUAACAGCCAGAAAUGGCUGCUAAUACCGCAUAAGCGCACAGAACCGCAUGGUUCGGUGUGAAAAACUCCGGUGGUAUAAGAUGGACCCGCGUUGGAUUAGCUAGUUGGCAGGGCAGCGGCCUACCAAGGCGACGAUCCAUAGCCGGCCUGGGAGGGUGAACGGCCACAUUGGGACUGAGACACGGCCCAGACUCCUACGGGAGGCAGCAGUGGGGAAUAUUGCACAAUGGGGGAAACCCUGAUGCAGCGACGCCGCGUGAAGGAAGAAGUAUCUCGGUAUGUAAACUUCUAUCAGCAGGGAAGAUAA
This 440-nucleotide ribosomal RNA is filed under the name uncultured bacterium. RNAcentral describes it as "bacterial SSU rRNA". It matches the Rfam family "Bacterial small subunit ribosomal RNA", at positions 28 to 451 of the family's 1533-position model. The record is from RNAcentral.